CUGAGUUCGGGGGCAAUCCCAGUCCCGACCUCCAACCCUUUGUGAACAUAUCUUGUUGCUUCGGGGGCGACCCUGCCGUUCGCGGCAUUCCCCCCGGAGGUCAUCAAAACACUGCAUUAUUACGUCGGAGUAAAAAGUUAAUUUAAUA
This 148-nucleotide unclassified non-coding RNA is filed under the name Caproventuria hanliniana. RNAcentral describes it as "ITS1". The record is from RNAcentral. Lineage: Eukaryota; Fungi; Ascomycota; Dothideomycetes; Venturiales; Venturiaceae.